GUGAGGAAUAUUGCGCAAUGGAGGCAACUCUGACGCAGCCAUGCCGCGUGCAGGAAGAAGGCGCUACGCGUUGUAAACUGCUUUUAACCGAGAAACCCCAGGACGUGUCCUGGGUUGACGGUACCGGAGGAAUAAGCACCGGCUAACUUCGUGCCAGCAGCCGCGGUAAUACGAAGGGUGCAAGCGUUAUCCGGAUUCAUUGGGUUUAAAGGGUGCGUAGGCGGAGCGUUAAGUCAGUGGUGAAAUCCUGCAGCUUAACUGUAGACUAGCCAUUGAUACUGGCGCUCUUGAGUGCGCUUGAAGUGGGCGGAAUGUGCCGUGUAGCGGUGAAAUGCUUAGAUAUGGCACAGAACACCAAUUGCGAAGGCAGCUCACUAAGGCGAUACUGACGCUGAGGCACGAAAGCGUGGGGAUCGAACAGGAUUAGAUACCCUUGUAGUCC
This 442-nucleotide ribosomal RNA is filed under the name uncultured bacterium. RNAcentral's name for it is "partial 16S ribosomal RNA". It matches the Rfam family "Bacterial small subunit ribosomal RNA", at positions 354 to 796 of the family's 1533-position model. The record is from RNAcentral.